This 475-nucleotide ribosomal RNA is filed under the name uncultured bacterium. RNAcentral describes it as "bacterial SSU rRNA". It matches the Rfam family "Bacterial small subunit ribosomal RNA", at positions 29 to 506 of the family's 1533-position model. The record is from RNAcentral.
UUGAACGCUGGCGGCAUGCUUUACACAUGCAAGUCGAACGGUAACAGGUUAAGCUGACGAGUGGCGAACGGGUGAGUAAUGCAUCGGAACGUGCCCGAUCGUGGGGGAUAACGCAGCGAAAGCUGCGCUAAUACCGCAUACGAUCUGAGGAUGAAAGCGGGGGACCGUAAGGCCUCGCGCGAUCGGAGCGGCCGAUGUCAGAUUAGGUAGUUGGUGGGGUAAAGGCUCACCAAGCCGACGAUCUGUAGCUGGUCUGAGAGGACGACCAGCCACACUGGGACUGAGACACGGCCCAGACUCCUACGGGAGGCAGCAGUGGGGAAUUUUGGACAAUGGGCGCAAGCCUGAUCCAGCAAUGCCGCGUGCAGGAAGAAGGCCUUCGGGUUGUAAAGCCCUUUCGACGGGGAGGAAGGCACCGGCGCGAAUAGCGUUGGUGAUUGACGUAACCUGGAGAAGAAGCACCGGCUAACUCCGU